GCCAGCCACAACAAAUAAAUAAAGGGUAAAUUACUAUUUAGUCCUUGAGGUAUGUCAAAAUUAACACAUAUGUCCCUCAGUUUUUAAAAGUCAAAGUUUUCAUCCCGGGGUUUUGAAUCUAUCCAACUCAAAGGUCCUUCCAUCUAUGAUUCUGUUAGGUCAGAAUCACAAGGGGAGAGAGAGGCAACGAACAGAAGGUACCCAGCCCCAAUCAGGCCACUCCAGGAAUCCGACGAGCCAGGACCUGCUGCCAGAUGAACACCCAACCUCAGACAAUCCCAUCGCCAUUGGUCUUGCAGCGAACAACCAUCAG
RNAcentral lists this unclassified non-coding RNA (313 nucleotides) under Hevea brasiliensis (rubber tree). Lineage: Eukaryota; Viridiplantae; Streptophyta; Magnoliopsida; Malpighiales; Euphorbiaceae. The record is from RNAcentral.